GGGAAGAAAAGAUUCGAGAGAGAGAGAAGCUGAAGAGGGAAGGAACGAGAAGAGAGAGCGGGAGAAGAAAGACGGUGACGGUGCGAGCUACAGAAGUGUGGAAAGAAAAAAUGGAGACUGGAGAUGAAGUAGGAAUGAAGUCGGGAUCGCAGUUACCGGUUUCCGAACCUAGCAUAUAAAGAAAACGGAGUAGGGAUUACUGCCGGUAUAAUUGUAAACUUACAUAGUUGGUAGUAAUGUGGAUCAUAUGUAAACUAAGAAUGUAUGAAUUUGUAUUCUACUGUAUUGAUACAUUUAUGGUUGAGGGUUUCUAUU
Carica papaya (papaya) is the source of this 315-nucleotide long non-coding RNA. RefSeq lists it as uncharacterized. NCBI's taxonomy places the organism in Eukaryota, Viridiplantae, Streptophyta, Magnoliopsida, Brassicales, Caricaceae. The record is from RefSeq and is a predicted model, not a curated record.